Molecule: ribosomal RNA, 429 nt
Filed under: Acidobacteriota bacterium
Lineage: Bacteria; Pseudomonadati; Acidobacteriota
Description: Acidobacteria bacterium partial 16S ribosomal RNA
Rfam family: Bacterial small subunit ribosomal RNA
Source: RNAcentral
UGGGGAAUUUUGGACAAUGGGGGAAACCCUGAUCCAGCCAUCCCGCGUGUGCGAUGAAGGCCUUCGGGUUGUAAAGCACUUUUGGCAGGAAAGAAACGUCAUGGGUUAAUACCCCGUGAAACUGACGGUACCUGCAGAAUAAGCACCGGCUAACUACGUGCCAGCAGCCGCGGUAAUACGUAGGGUGCAAGCGUUAAGCGGAAUUACUGGGCGUAAAGCGUGCGCAGGCGGUUCGGAAAGAAAGAUGUGAAAUCCCAGAGCUCAACUUUGGAACUGCAUUUUUAACUACCAGAAUAGAGUGUGUCAGAGAGAGGUGGAAUUAAGCGUGUAGCAGUGAAAUGCCUAGAUAUGCGGAGGAACACCGAUGGCGAAGGCAGCCUCCUGGGAUAACACUGACGCUCAUGCACGAAAGCGUGGGGAGCAAACAGG